AUUGAACGCUGGCGGCAGGCCUAACACAUGCAAGUCGAACGAGUGGCGGACGGGUGAGUAAUGUCUGGGAAACUGCCUGAUGGAGGGGGAUAACUACGGGAAACGGUAGCUAAUAACACAUACCAUCGGAUGUCCCCAGAGGGGUUUAGCUAGUAGGUGGGGGAAAGGCUCAACUAGGCGACGAUCCCUAGCUGGUCUGAGAGGAUGACCAGCCACACUGGAACUGAGACACGGUCCAGACUCCUACGGGAGGCAGCAGUGGGGAAUAUUGCACAAGGGGCGCAAGCCUGAUGCAGCCAUGCCGCGUGUAUGACGAAGGCCUUCGGGUUGUAAAGUACUUUCAGCGGGGAGGCGUUACCCGCAGAAGAAGCACCGGCUAACUCCGUGCCAGCAGCCGCGGUAAUUC
This 406-nucleotide ribosomal RNA is filed under the name uncultured bacterium. Its description in RNAcentral is "partial 16S ribosomal RNA". It matches the Rfam family "Bacterial small subunit ribosomal RNA", at positions 30 to 526 of the family's 1533-position model. The record is from RNAcentral.